CACGUAGGCACCAAGCGUUGUCCGGAUUUAUUGGGCGUAAAGAGCUCGUAGGCGGUCUGUCACGUCGGCUGUGAAAACCCGAGGCUCAACCUCGGGCCUGCAGUCGAUACGGGCAAACUAGAGUGUUGCAGGGGAGACUGGAAUUCCUGGUGUAGCGGUGAAAUGCGUAGAUAUCCAAAGGAACACCGGUGGCGAAAGCGGCGCGCUGGACCUCUUCUGACGCUGAGGCGCGAAAGCCAGGGGAGCAAACGGG
RNAcentral lists this ribosomal RNA (253 nucleotides) under uncultured bacterium. RNAcentral's name for it is "partial 16S ribosomal RNA". It matches the Rfam family "Bacterial small subunit ribosomal RNA", at positions 524 to 776 of the family's 1533-position model. The record is from RNAcentral.